GGGAGAGAGAGGAAGGGAGAGAAGAAAGGAGAGAGAGAGAGAGAGAGAGAGAGAGAGAGAGAACAAUAGUCAGAGAAAAUUACACUGAUCACCAAAGAAAAGAUAAAUAAUCUUUGUAUUUGGCAUUGUGUUAUGUGAAUAAAAUGAACAUCACAAGGAUUUAAAAAAAAAAGAAACUGUCAACUGGGAAGAAUGAACAUCAUGUUAUCUCUUUUCUAAGCAUAUGAUAGCCAAUAUGUAUAGGGAACCAAUAGAAGUAUAAGAGACUAAGAGCCAUUCCCUAAGAGAUAAUUGGUCAACGAAUAUGAGCAAAAGAGUAGUAAAUGACUAAAUACUGUAAAAAUUUGCACCAGAUCAAAUUCCCCUAGUAAAUUGGCAAAGAUGACAAAAGUUAGGAGAAUUCAGUAUUGCAGUAGUUGUGUGAAGAGAUAGUCACACCGAGGAACUGGUGGGGGAUGUACAAAUUGGUGAUCCAUUGACAUCAUCUCUUCCUGACCUGAAACACAUCAUACCAACUGAGGAUAAUGUGACCUUCAAACUCUGGCAUGGCACAGAAAAAGGCAUUCCAUGUUGGUCUUUAGGAAUCUUCUCCCCAAGAAGAAAAAGGUAAUGAAUAAAUGUAAUAAAGAAUCAAGUCAGUAACUCAGAAGAUCUUCAAAGACCACCGGACUGCAGGGAUCAAUCAGGUCAGGUUUCAGAUUGCAUUUGGUGACCCAUGUCAACAAUCAUCUAUGUCCCUGAGGAAAACCUGAGACCUACAAUUCCUCGGGAUCUAUUCCAAGACCUGUUCAGAGUCCUGGUUCAUUUUGCUGAGAAGGAUAAAGAGAGGACAAGAGAGUGA
Molecule: long non-coding RNA, 841 nt
Filed under: Sarcophilus harrisii (Tasmanian devil)
Lineage: Eukaryota; Metazoa; Chordata; Mammalia; Dasyuromorphia; Dasyuridae
Description: lncRNA (ENSSHAG00000023486.1)
Source: RNAcentral